UACGUAGGGUGCAAGCGUUGUCCGGAUUUACUGGGCGUAAAGGGUGCGUAGGCGGAUGUUUAAGUGAGAUGUGAAAUCGCCGGGCUUAACCUGGAGGCUGCAUUCCAAACUGGAUGUCUAGAGUGCAGGAGAGGAAAGCGGAAUGCCUGGUGUAGCGGUGAAAUGCGUAGAGAUCAGGAAGAACACCAGUGGCGAAGGCGGCCUGCUGGCCUGUAACUGACGCUGAGGCACGAAAGCGUGGGUAGCAAACAGG
RNAcentral lists this ribosomal RNA (253 nucleotides) under uncultured bacterium. Its description in RNAcentral is "partial 16S ribosomal RNA". It matches the Rfam family "Bacterial small subunit ribosomal RNA", at positions 524 to 776 of the family's 1533-position model. The record is from RNAcentral.